GAUGAACGCUGGCGGCGUGCCUAAUACAUGCAAGUCGAGCGAACAGAUAAUGAGCUUGCUCCUUUGACGUUAGCGGCGGACGGGUGAGUAACACGUGGGUAACCUACCUAUAAGACUGGAAUAACCACGGGAAACCGGGGCUAAUGCCGGAUAACAUUUAGAACCGCGUGGUUCUAAAGUGAAAGAUGGUUGUGCUAUCACUUAUAGAUGGACCCGCGCCGUAUUAGCUAGUUGGUAAGGUAACGGCUUACCAAGGCAACGAUACGUAGCCGACCUGAGAGGCUGAUCGGCGACCUUGGAACGGGGACACCGUCCAGACGCCUACGGGAGGCAGCAGUAGGGAACCUGCCGCAAUGGGCGAAAGCCUGACGGAGCAACCCCGCGUGAGUGACGACGGUCCUCGGAUCGGAAAACUCUGUUAUUAGGGAAGAACAACUGUGUACGUAACUGUGCACGUCUUGACGGUACCUAAUCAGAAAGCCACGGCUAACUACGUG
RNAcentral lists this ribosomal RNA (497 nucleotides) under uncultured bacterium. Its description in RNAcentral is "partial 16S ribosomal RNA". It matches the Rfam family "Bacterial small subunit ribosomal RNA", at positions 28 to 507 of the family's 1533-position model. The record is from RNAcentral.